RNAcentral lists this unclassified non-coding RNA (234 nucleotides) under fungal sp. RNAcentral's name for it is "partial internal transcribed spacer region". The stretch from base 1 to 45 matches the Rfam family "Eukaryotic small subunit ribosomal RNA", at positions 1787 to 1831 of the family's 1831-position model. The record is from RNAcentral. Lineage: Eukaryota; Fungi.
AGUCGUAACAAGGUUUCCGUAGGUGAACCUGCGGAAGGAUCAUUAGCAAAUCAUCAGGGUGCGCCGCCGCAGGCGGUGCACAUCUGUCCCGGGGAGAAAGUCUGAUUUGAUUUUCUCCCUGUGUUCAAUGUGCUCAGAUGAAAUAUUCUGUGUCCAAGUGCUCCACGGAAAUGUAAAUCACAACCAAAAAACCAAAACAUAAAACAACUUUUAACAAUGGAUCUCUGGGCUCCU